RNAcentral lists this ribosomal RNA (837 nucleotides) under uncultured archaeon. RNAcentral's name for it is "bacterial SSU rRNA". It matches the Rfam family "Archaeal small subunit ribosomal RNA", at positions 21 to 859 of the family's 1478-position model. The record is from RNAcentral.
GGUUACUGCUAUCGGUGUUCGCUUAAGCCAUGCGAGUCAUAUGUACUUCGGAACAUGGCGUACUGCUCAGUAACACGUGGAUAACCUGCCCUUGGGUCCGGCAUAACCCCGGGAAACUGGGGAUAAUUCCGGAUAACGCACAUAUGCUGGAAUGCUUUAUGCGUCAAAUGGAUUCGUCCGCCCAAGGAUGGGUCUGCGGCCUAUCAGGUAGUAGUGGGUGUAAUGUACCUACUAGCCUACGACGGGUACGGGUUGUGAGAGCAAGAGCCCGGAGAUGGAUUCUGAGACAUGAAUCCAGGCCCUACGGGGCGCAGCAGGCGCGAAAACUUUACAAUGCGGGAAACCGUGAUAAGGGGACACCGAGUGCCAGCAUCAUAUGCUGGCUGUCCGGGUGUGUAAAAUACACCUGUUAGCAAGGGCCGGGCAAGACCGGUGCCAGCCGCCGCGGUAACACCGGCGGCCCGAGUGGUGAUCGUGAUUAUUGGGUCUAAAGGGUCCGUAGCCGGUUUGGUCAGUCCUCCGGGAAAUCUGACGGCUUAACCGUUAGGCUUUCGGGGGAUACUGCCAGACUUGGAACCGGGAGAGGUAAGAGGUACUACAGGGGUAGGAGUGAAAUCUUGUAAUCCCUGUGGGACCACCUGUGGCGAAGGCGUCUUACCAGAACGGGUUCGACGGUGAGGGACGAAAGCUGGGGGCACGAACCGGAUUAGAUACCCGGGUAGUCCCAGCCGUAAACGAUGCUCGCUAGGUGUCAGGCAUGGCGCGACCGUGUCUGGUGCCGCAGGGAAGCCGUGAAGCGAGCCACCUGGGAAGUACGGCCGCAAGGCUGAAACUUAA